GCCUUCGUGGUGUAGUGGUCAGCACGCUCGACGCGUAACCGAGAGGUCCGUGGUUCGAUUCCCGGGGAAGGCA
This 73-nucleotide transfer RNA is filed under the name Stegodyphus mimosarum. It matches the Rfam family "tRNA". Rfam says of the family: Transfer RNA (tRNA) molecules are approximately 80 nucleotides in length. Their secondary structure includes four short double-helical elements and three loops (D, anti-codon, and T loops). Lineage: Eukaryota; Metazoa; Arthropoda; Arachnida; Araneae; Eresidae. The record is from Rfam by way of RNAcentral.